GGGGCUAUCGAUUAGUGGUAAAUCAUAAUGUUCGCAUUCAUAGCAAUACGCAUUACGUUAGGCCCCCGGUUCGAUUCCGGGUAGCUCCA
Naganishia friedmannii is the source of this 89-nucleotide non-coding RNA. NCBI's taxonomy places the organism in Eukaryota, Fungi, Basidiomycota, Tremellomycetes, Filobasidiales, Filobasidiaceae. The record is from the annotation of a GenBank genome assembly.